Molecule: ribosomal RNA, 258 nt
Filed under: uncultured bacterium
Lineage: Bacteria
Description: partial 16S ribosomal RNA
Rfam family: Bacterial small subunit ribosomal RNA
Source: RNAcentral
GUCCGCACUGUAAACGAUGAUUACUCGCUGCUGGGAGGUAACUUUCAGUGGCUUAGCGAAAGCGAUAAGUAAUCCACCUGGGGAGUACGCCGGCAACGGUGAAACUCAAAGGAAUUGACGGGGGCCCGCACAAGCGGAGGAGCAUGUGGUUUAAUUCGAUGAUACGCGAGGAACCUUACCAGGGCUUGAAAGUUAGUGACCGCUCCUGAAAGGGAGCUUUCCGCAAGGACACGAAACUAGGUGCUGCAUGGCUGUCGU